CGCUGAUUGGUUGAGUUUGUCCGCGAGGCGCCUGAGCGGGGCGAGUUUGAAACUAGUGGAGAAGUUAACAAGGAGACUGAGUUGAGAAUAUCAAACGAUGACAAUUUACACUCCUCCGAGAAGGUGUUCGGCAUCAAGACGUCACAGAUGGAAUUGUUCCAGGAUGUUGCCACGUCCCUCGUUGAUGACCUCAUUCACAACAAGAACGGUGUUCACGGCGGACGAGAAGAAUGGUAUGGAGGUCCACAAUCGCUUAGAUGCUCUGUCGGAGCGUCAGAACAGGAAGUACCAGCCAACGGGAGUGUCAGAACAGGAAGUACCAGCCAACGGGAGUGUCAGAACAGGAAGUACCAGCCAACGGGAGUGUCAGAACAGGAAGUACCAGCCAACGGGAGUGUCAGAACAGGAAGUACCAGCCAACGUCUGAGCUGCAACUCGUUUCUGUUUUCCGAUGUGAUUUAUCAUCCUAACUGACAACCGCAGACAUCAAAUGUCUGUAUAGUUUCCUAUUAGAGUAGUAGUUAUCUCCUGGUAGUUAUCUCCGGGUCCUAUUGGCUACUGUAUGGUAUAGUUAUCUCCUGGUAGUUAUCUCCGGGUCCUAUUGGCUACUGUAUGGUAUAGUUAUCUCCUGGUAGUUAUCUCCGGGUCCUAUUGGCUACUGUAUGGUAUAGUUAUCUCCUGGUAGUUAUCUCCGGGUCCUAUUGGCUACUGUAUGGUAUAGUUAUCUCCUGGUAGUUAUCUCCGGGUCCUAUUGGCUACUGUAUGGUAUAGUUAUCUCCUGGUAGUUAUCUCCUGGUCCUACUGGCUACUGUAUGGUAUAGUUAUCUCCUGGUAGUUAUCUCCUGGUCCUAUUGGCUAAUGUAUGGUAUAGUUAUCUCCUGGUAGUUAUCUCCGGGUCCUAUUGGCUACUGUAUGGUAUAGUUAUCUCCUGGUAGUUAUCUCCUGGUCCUACUGGCUACUGUAUGGUAUAGUUAUCUCCUGGUAGUUAUCUCCGGGUCCUAUUGGCUACUGUAUGGUAUAGUUAUCUCCUGGUCCUACUGGCUACUGUAUGGUAUAGUUAUCUCCGGGUAGUUAUCUCCGGGUCCUAUUGGCUACUGUAUGGUAUAGUUAUCUCCUGGUAGUUAUCUCCGGGUCCUAUUGGCUACUGUAUGGUAUAGUUAUCUCCUGGUAGUUAUCUCCGGGUCCUAUUGGCUACUGUAUGGUAUAGUUAUCUCCUGGUAGUUAUCUCCUGGUCCUAUUGGCUACUGUAUGGUAUAGUUAUCUCCUGGUAGUUAUCUCCUGGUCCUAUUGGCUACUGUAUGGUAUAGUUUCCUAUUAGAGUAGUAGUUAUCUCCGGGUACUACUGGCUACUGUAUGGUAUAGUUAUCUCCGGGUCCUACUGGCUACUGUAUGGUAUAGUUAGUUAUCUCCUGGUCCUACUGGCUACUGUAUGGUAUAGUUAUCUCCGGGUCCUACUGGCUACUGUAUGGUAUAGUUAUCUCCGGGUCCUACUGGCUACUGUAUGGUAUAGUUAUCUCCGGGUCCUACCGGCUACUGUAUGGUAUAGUUAUCUCCUGGUCCUACUGGCUACUGUAUGGUAUAGUUAUCUCCGGGUCCUACUGGCUACUGUAUGGUAUAGUUAUCUCCGGGUCCUACUGGCUACUGUAUGGUAUAGUUAUCUCCGGGUCCUACCGGCUACUGUAUGGUAUAGUUAUCUCCGGGUACUACUGGCUACUGUAUGGUAUAGUUAUCUCCGGGUCCUACUGGCUACUGUAUGGUAUAGUUAUCUCCGGGUACUACUGGCUACUGUAUGGUAUAGUUAUCUCCGGGUACUACUGGCUACUGUAUGGUAUAGUUAUCUCCGGGUCCUACCGGCUACUGUAUGGUAUAGUUAUCUCCGGGUACUACUGGCUACUGUAUGGUAUAGUUAUCUCCUGGUCCUACUGGCUACUGUAUGGUAUAGUUAUCUCCGGGUCCUACCGGCUACUGUAUGGUAUAGUUAUCUCCUGGUCCUACUGGCUACUGUAUGGUAUAGUUAUCUCCUGGUAGUUAUCUCCGGGUCCUAUUGGCUACUGUAUGGUAUAGUUUCCUAUUAGAGUAGUAGUUAUCUCCGGGUCCUAUUGGCUACUGUAUGGUAUAGUUAUCUCCGGGUACUACCGGCUACUGUAUGGUAUAGUUAUCUCCGGGUACUACUGGCUACUGUAUGGUAUAGUUAUCUCCGGGUACUACUGGCUACUGUAUGGUAUAGUUAUCUCCGGGUCCUACCGGCUACUGUAUGGUAUAGUUAUCUCCGGGUACUACUGGCUACUGUAUGGUAUAGUUAUCUCCUGGUAGUUAUCUCCGGGUCCUAUUGGCUACUGUAUGGUAUAGUUAUCUCCUGGUAGUUAUCUCCGGGUCCUAUUGGCUACUGUAUGGUAUAGUUAUCUCCUGGUAGUUAUCUCCGGGUCCUACCGGCUACUGUAUGGUAUAGUUAUCUCCUGGUCCUACUGGCUACUGUAUGGUAUAGUUAUCUCCUGGUAGUUAUCUCCGGGUCCUAUUGGCUACUGUAUGGUAUAGUUAUCUCCUGGUCCUACUGGCUACUGUAUGGUAUAGUUAUCUCCUGGUGCUACUGUAUGGUAUAGUUAUAUCCUGGUCCUACUGGCUACUGUAUGGUAUAGUUAUCUCCUGGUAGUUAUCUCCUGGUCCUACUGGCUACUGUAUGGUAUAGUUAUAUCCUGGUCCUACUGGCUACUGUAUGGUAUAGUUAUCUCCUGGUCCUACUGGCUACUGUAUGGUAUAGUUAUCUCCUGGUACUACUGGCUACUGUAUGGUAUAGUUAUCUCCUGGUCCUACUGGCUACUGUAUGGUAUAGUUAUCUCCUGGUCCUACUGGCUACUGUAUGGUAUAGUUAUCUCCGGGUCCUACUGGCUACUGUAUGGUAUAGUUAUCUCCGGGUACUACUGGCUACUGUAUGGUAUAGUUAUCUCCUGGUCCUACUGGCUACUGUAUGGUAUAGUUAUCUCCUGGUCCUACUGGCUACUGUAUAGUAUAGUUUCCUAUUAGAGUAGUAGUUAUAUAUAUAUAGUUCACUAAAGCUUAUUUACAAUAUUGAAUAUUUAGUUGUGUGAUCACAUAUGAAGCCAGAACGAGCUGAAUAUAUGCAUGAUGAUUCAGCCAAAGAUGGACUGCGGUAUUGUGUUUCAUAACUAACGGUCCCACAAUGCAACAAUGUGGUUCCUUUUGUUUUCACUCGUACCUUUCGGAUUUUCUCAGCGCUAGUUUUUUUCAGGACCGUUGCAUUUCUCGUUACCUGACAGACAGUGGGACGUCACUGAAGAGUAGCGGUGUCCCAUUGUAUUCUCGUUACCUGACAGACAGUGGGACAUCACUGAAGAGUAGCGGUG
Molecule: long non-coding RNA, 3362 nt
Organism: Oncorhynchus mykiss (rainbow trout)
Lineage: Eukaryota; Metazoa; Chordata; Actinopteri; Salmoniformes; Salmonidae
Source: RefSeq, a predicted model, not a curated record